CAUGGUGAUAUGUAUACAGGUUGUAACUAGGGAGAGAGAGGAGAGACAUGGUGAUAUGUAUACAGGUUGUAACUAGGGAGAGAGAGAGGAGAGACAUGGUGAUAUGUAUACAGGUUGUAACUAGGGAGAGAGAGAGGAGAGACAUGGUGAUAUGUAUACAGGUUGUAACUAGGGAGAGAGAGAGGAGAGACAUGGUGAUAUGUAUACAGGUUGUAACUAGGGAGAGAGAGAGGAGAGACAUGGUGAUAUGUAUACAGGUUGUAACUAGGGAGAGAGAGGAGAGACAUGGUGAUAUGUAUACAGGUUGUAACUAGGGAGAGAGAGGAGAGACAUGGUGAUAUGUAUACAGGUUGUAACUAGGGAGAGAGAGGAGAGACAUGGUGAUAUGUAUACAGGUUGUAACUAGGGAGAGAGAGGAGAGACAUGGUGAUAUGUAUACAGGUUGUAACUAGGGAGAGAGAGGAGAGACAUGGUGAUAUGUAUACAGGUUGUAACUAGGGAGAGAGAGGAGAGACAUGGUGAUAUGUAUACAGGUUGUAACUAGGGAGAGAGAGGAGAGAGACAUGGUGAUAUGUAUACAGGUUGUAACUAGGGAGAGAGAGGAGAGAGACAUGGUGAUAUGUAUACAGGUUGUAACUAGGGAGAGAGAGGAGAGACAUGGUGAUAUGUAUACAGGUUGUAACUAGGGAGAGAGAGAGGAGAGACAUGGUGAUAUGUAUACAGGUUGUAACUAGGGAGAGAGAGAGGAGAGACAUGGUGAUAUGUAUACAGGUUGUAACUAGGGAGAGAGAGGAGAGACAUGGUGAUAUGUAUACAGGUUGUAACUAGGGAGAGAGAGGAGAGACAUGGUGAUAUGUAUACAGGUUGUAACUAGGGAGAGAGAGGAGAGACAUGGUGAUAUGUAUACAGGUUGUAACUAGGGAGAGAGAGGAGAGACAUGGUGAUAUGUAUACAGGUUGUAACUAGGGAGAGAGAGGAGAGACAUGGUGAUAUGUAUACAGGUUGUAACUAGGGAGAGAGAGGAGAGACAUGGUGAUAUGUAUACAGGUUGUAACUAGGGAGAGAGAGGAGAGACAUGGUGAUAUGUAUACAGGUUGUAACUAGGGAGAGAGAGGAGAGACAUGGUGAUAUGUAUACAGGUUGUAACUAGGGAGAGAGAGGAGAGACAUGGUGAUAUGUAUACAGGUUGUAACUAGGGAGAGAGAGGAGAGACAUGGUGAUAUGUAUACAGGUUGUAACUAGGGAGAGAGAGAGGAGAGACAUGGUGAUAUGUAUACAGGUUGUAACUAAGGAGAGAGAGGAGAGACAUGGUGAUAUGUAUACAGGUUGUAACUAGGGAGAGAGAGAGGAGGAGAGAGACAUGGUUAUCAUAUGUACAGUAGAAAGUAUUCAGACACCUUGACUUUCUCCACAUCGUUACGUUUCAGCCUUAUUCUAAAAUGUAUUAACUCGUCCCCCCCUCAAUUUACACACAUAUCCCAUCAUGAAAAAGCAAAACCAGAUUUAGAAACGU
Molecule: long non-coding RNA, 1513 nt
Organism: Oncorhynchus keta (chum salmon)
Lineage: Eukaryota; Metazoa; Chordata; Actinopteri; Salmoniformes; Salmonidae
Exons: 5
Source: RefSeq, a predicted model, not a curated record